Molecule: unclassified non-coding RNA, 329 nt
Filed under: soil metagenome
Description: partial contains 5.8S ribosomal RNA, internal transcribed spacer 2, and large subunit ribosomal RNA
Rfam family: 5.8S ribosomal RNA (bases 1-120)
Source: RNAcentral
GAUGAAGAACGUAGCGAAAUGCGAUAAGUAAUGUGAAUUGCAGAAUUCAGUGAAUCAUCGAAUCUUUGAACGCACAUUGCGCCCCCUGGUAUUCCGGGGGGCAUGCCUGUCCGAGCGUCAUUACAACCCUCAAGCUCAGCUUGGUGUUGGGCCCCGCCGCCCCGGUGGGCCCUAAAGUCAGUGGCGGUGCCGUCCGGCUCCGAGCGUAGUAAUUCUUCUCGCUCUGGAGGUCCGGUCGUGUGCUUGCCAGCAACCCCCAAUUUUUUUCAGGUUGACCUCGGAUCAGGUAGGGAUACCCGCUGAACUUAAGCAUAUCAAUAAGCGGAGGA